Molecule: long non-coding RNA, 2414 nt
Organism: Chiloscyllium plagiosum (whitespotted bambooshark)
Lineage: Eukaryota; Metazoa; Chordata; Chondrichthyes; Orectolobiformes; Hemiscylliidae
Source: RefSeq, a predicted model, not a curated record
UGCGUCAUCACGCCGGGCGACGUCCAUACGUUUCGCAAUAGCAUGGCGGGAAAUGGCGGGGCAUGGUCGAGGUUCUCAUGGCAAUUUCAAAAAAGGUGAGGCAACGUCGAUGGACAGUGUGCGUGUUGGAAGAGUCCUCCUCAGUGUAACAGCCACAAAGUGUUACAGCUUGGAAGGACACCAAUGGGCGCGUCAUAUUAGUGCGGAUUCAGCAACUAUUUUCAGAGACAACUGUUGGUGGUUUAACCUGAGGAUCACCACACCUUGAGCAAGAGGAGAGAUGGAGAGGAGAAUCCUUCAUGGUAGCCUCAAGGCGACAUGUAAUGACAGCAGAUUUAAAGAAUAGAGGACCUGAAGAUAUAACUAUUUACAAUAUUACCUAACAUGAACAUGGAGGUGAUAUCAUCAGGAAUGGGAGUAAGAGACCAAUUCUAGUUUUUCCAGUAAUAAGAUAACAUAUGCAAUGUUUAGAAAACAGUUUAUUUCUUUCUACAUGCCAUGGCAUAUAGCGCUUCAAUUGAGCAUUUGAUUUUGAUUUCUGUGUAUACUGUAUUAAAUAGUAGCACAGGGAUUGCAAGCAAAAGUCUUAGAGUCCUUAUUUACAGUUUUUCAUAACAUAAAGAUAUAUAAGACAAUGCUAUUCAAUAUUUUAACAUGUUAAAUGGCAGUCCACGGUGAGAAUGCUGUGUGGAGACACAGGGAGAUCAAGCCCAGUGCGGGAGAAAGAUUGAGCCCACGUGAGGAAAGCCCAGCACGGAGUGACUGCAGGUCCAUGGCUAACGAAGGAUCGUAAUUUGGAACUUUUAACUUUAUUUCUUAUUUACUGCUUUAUACUGCUUUAUUUUUCUACUUUUUCCCUAAUAUUUUGUACCUGUGGAACCUUAUACCUAAGAUGGUGCCGUGAAUGGCGACAUUAUAAACUUUUCACUGUGCUCCUGUAUCCCUAUAUUUGCAUACACAUGACAAUAAAACUUUAUGAAUAAAACCUGUUAUUUCCAAUGAAAGAGAGAAAACAAAAAAAAAAUCAUAAUUUACUAACAUUCUGGUAUUGGUGAGAAAGGACCACGCAGUGUGUCAAUAAGAAAAGCUGACGUACAUUGUGACUAAUGCCACUGCAGUCUCAUGCUGCAUGUAUCCUGCAGCAUUCUAGCUGAAGGAGGUGCUGACUUCAUCAGUAGUUCAACUGACAGAGAACCACCUUGAGGCAAUUUCUUCAUUGCACCACAGGAAGUACAACUGCUGCAUCAAUAUAUAAGUUUCAGCCUAUGGCAGAGAGCAUUUCCCAAUAAUGGAAAUUGCUGCUAGCUAUCAAAUGUUUCUGGUUCCUAAAGCCAAUCUACCCAGUAAGACUAGUAAUGCUGUCCUGACAGUGCAUAUUCCCAGCUAGUGCAAAUUUUGAACAGUUGCCUCAGAGUUGUUCUUGUGUUGCUGUUGAUGUUAAGGAAUCCACUCUGUUGUAUAAACAGGAAUACUUACCACUUGGAGUUAAGCCAAUCUGAAGUUAAAAUGGUUCCGAUUGUAUAAGCUUGUCCAUUAAUUUUAAAUUUGGUUCACUUAGCCUGUUUAUUUCCCCUUCUCUUCAAAUAUUUGUUCCAUUCUCCAGCAAUCCUUGGCCUCAAUGAACGCACAAAUCCAUUAAAAAUGUAACAAAUAAGUUCAGUGCCUUGCCUGUACUAUUCAAUGUAUUUACUCUGAACAUUACUCCCUUAGUACACCACUCAAUUAAUGACAUUUUUAAAAAUAGACUAAACAGUGGGAGCUGUUUGUGUCUCUCAGUAGUCUAUGCUAUAGCCAUAUAUUGAUCAAGUGAAAUACUGUAUACAAUGUGAUGAAUGCCUGUUAUUUAUAAUUUCCAUCAUUAUAUCCAGUAGAAAAUAUUCCAAAAAUAUUUCAGAAAAUAUAUUUUUGUUGGUAUUAAUGUACUAAUUUUACAGAAUUAGAUAAUAGAUUGUAUAUUGAUAUUUGUCAUUUUAAAAAUUACAUCAAAAAUCAUUACAUCAUUUUCCAAUUCUAAGAGGCUGCAGGAUAUUUGAACAGAAAGAAUAGCUUACAAUUUGAACCUGGAUGAUUCUAAUGCAUGCCAGUCUGCCUACUUCAGACUGCUGACCAGGAAAAAAAAUUCUAUAAACCAUUAGCACUUUGUAACUGCUAUUUUCCUCUAGGCUUCCUGCCAGUGACCUUACAAUGUCCCUCCAAAGUUACAGUAAGCAAUGAGAUUUCAACACUGAAAGAUAAAAGAAUAAUGCUAAACAAAUAACCAUUAACUAACUGUGUUAAAUGUCCUCUAGUCUGUAUGUAAUGUUAAGAAAAUGGUUUAUUUAUAUCUAUGUGCCGUGGCUGUACAUCUGAAAUGGAGCAACUGGCUUUUAUGUAUAUUGUCUCCACUGUAUUAAAAAGUAACACAAGGAUUAUGA